AAUUCGCCUUUAACGAGAAUCGAACUUAAGACCUCUCACUUACAAAUGAAGACGAAUACUAUUAGACUGUGGUACUAAGUGGCAAAACAAUAGUUGGUGUGAAAACAAAACAUUUCCUUCUCAUUUAGUGGAUUUCAGAAGGUACAAUGUCCUAUAUUUUCGGCAAAUGUGUUUUUUUUUUUUUUGUUAAACAAUAGAUUUUGUCAAAUUAGAUGUUAGAUGUAAGAUGUUAAAUAUUUUCGGCAAAUGUUAGAGAGACAAUUUUUUUAGACUACAAUUAUAAAUCAUCUUAUGUUGUUAAACUUUGAGUCGGUGAAAUGGCACUAAUCAAAUUUGAUACUCUCUCUAAAGAAAUUUUAACCAAACAAUGUUAUCUAUACUAAAAGGAUGGUGGUGUUGGUUAAGCCUCACAAUGAGCGCGUAAUAAUAUGGUCUAACUUUAUCUUUGGCGAGAAUCGAACCUAACUCCUCUCACUUACAAGUGAAAAUGAAUACUAUUAAGUUGUAGGUACAUGUCUAGUUCAAAAGAUGAUCGUUUGAGGUUUUAUCGUAAAACGCAUUGAUACUCAACUUUUGAUCUAACAAACAACAUCAUGAUCUUACUUCUUAAAGUUAUAUAUUUUCCUUCAACAAAUCCAAAAAUAUUCCGAUGUAAAUUGCCUGUCAAUAAUAGAUCAAGCUCGGUCUACAUCAGCAUACCCAACGAACAAACAUCGUCUCAUAGAGGAAUAUGUUUUGAAA
This 741-nucleotide long non-coding RNA is filed under the name Malus domestica (apple). RNAcentral's name for it is "long non-coding RNA (MDOM_LNC018251)". The record is from RNAcentral. Lineage: Eukaryota; Viridiplantae; Streptophyta; Magnoliopsida; Rosales; Rosaceae.